AGAGUUUGAUCAUGGCUCAGGACGAACGCUGGCGGCACGCUUAACACAUGCAAGUCGAACGAGAGAAGAGGAGCUUGCUUUUCUGAUCUAGUGGCGGACGGGUGAGUAACACGUGAGCAAUCUGCCUUUCAGAGGGGGAUACCGAUUGGAAACGAUCGUUAAUACCGCAUAACAUAAUUGAACCGCAUGAUUUGAUUAUCAAAGAUUUAUCGCUGAAAGAUGAGCUCGCGUCUGAUUAGCUAGUUGGUAAGGUAACGGCUUACCAAGGCGACGAUCAGUAGCCGGACUGAGAGGUUGAUCGGCCACAUUGGGACUGAGACACGGCCCAGACUCCUACGGGAGGCAGCAGUGGGGAAUAUUGCACAAUGGAGGAAACUCUGAUGCAGCGAUGCCGCGUGAGGGAAGAAGGCUUUAGGAUUGUAAACCUCUGUCUUCAGGGACGAAAAAAGACGGUACCUGAGGAGGAAGCUCCGGCUAACUACGUGCCAGCAGCCGCGGUAAUACGUAGGGAGCGAGCGUUGUCCGGAAUUACUGGGUGUAAAGGGAGCGUAGGCGGGAUCGCAAGUCAGAUGUGAAAACUAUGGGCUUAACCCAUAAACUGCAUUUGAAACUGUGGUUCUUGAGUGAAGUAGAGGUAAGCGGAAUUCCUAGUGUAGCGGUGAAAUGCGUAGAUAUUAGGAGGAACAUCAGUGGCGAAGGCGGCUUACUGGGCUUUAACUGACGCUGAGGCUCGAAAGCGUGGGGAGCAAACAGGAUUAGAUACCCUGGUAGUCCACGCCGUAAACGAUGAUUACUAGGUGUGGGGGGACUGACCCCUUCCGUGCCGCAGCAAACGCAAUAAGUAAUCCACCUGGGGAGUACGACCGCAAGGUUGAAACUCAAAGGAAUUGACGGGGGCCCGCACAAGCAGUGGAGUAUGUGGAUUAAUUCGAAGCAACGCGAAGAACCUUACCAGGUCUUGACAUCGUAUGCAUAGCUCAGAGAUGAGUGAAAUCUCUUCGGAGACAUAUAGACAGGUGGUGCAUGGUUGUCGUCAGCUCGUGUCGUGAGAUGUUGGGUUAAGUCCCGCAACGAGCGCAACCCUUACUGUUAGUUGCUACGCAAGAGCACUCUAGCAGGACUGCCGUUGACAAAACGGAGGAAGGUGGGGAUGACGUCAAAUCAUCAUGCCCCUUAUGACCUGGGCCUCACACGUACUACAAUGGCUGUCAACAGAGGGAAGCAAAGCCGCGAGGUGGAGCGAACCCCUAAAAGCAGUCUUAGUUCGGAUUGUAGGCUGCAACCCGCCUACAUGAAGUCGGAAUUGCUAGUAAUCGCAGAUCAGCAUGCUGCGGUGAAUACGUUCCCGGGCCUUGUACACACCGCCCGUCACGCCAUGGGAGUCGGUAACACCCGAAGCCUGUAGUCUAACCGCAAGGAGGACGCAGUCGAAGGUGGGAUUGAUGACUGGGGUGAAGUCGUAACAAGGUA
RNAcentral lists this ribosomal RNA (1470 nucleotides) under metagenome. Its description in RNAcentral is "bacterial SSU rRNA". It matches the Rfam family "Bacterial small subunit ribosomal RNA". The record is from RNAcentral.